GGAAGUAAAAGUCGUAACAAGGUCUCCGUUGGUGAACCAGCGGAGGGAUCAUUACCGAGUACUAUAACUCAUAACCCUUUGUGAACCUUCAUACCUGUUGCUUCGGCGGCGCGCCUCCCGGGGCGUGCCCGCCGGCAUUAUCAGAAUCUCUGUUCGAACCCGACGAUACUUCUGAGUGUUCUAAGCGAACUGUUAAAACUUUCAACAACGGAUCUCUUGGCUCCAGCAUCGAUGAAGAACGCAGCGAAACGCGAUAUGUAAUGUGAAUUGCAGAAUUCAGUGAAUCAUCGAAUCUUUGAACGCACAUGGCGCCUUCCAGUAUCCUGGGAGGCAUGCCUGUCCGAGCGUCGUUUCAACCCUCGAGCCCCCGUGGCCCGGCGUUGGGGACCUGCCCAGGCAGUCCCCGAGAACCAGUGGCGGACCCGACGGGCCCUUCCUUUGCGUAGUAACAUCUGCCUCGCAUCGGGAGCCCCCGGGCUAUCCGGCCUCUAAACCCCCCUCAAGCCCGCUCCGGCGGCACCAAGGUUGACCUCGGAUCAGGUAGGAAUACCCGCUGAACUUAAGCAUAUCAAUAAGCGGAGGAAAGGC
Molecule: ribosomal RNA, 588 nt
Filed under: uncultured Verticillium
Lineage: Eukaryota; Fungi; Ascomycota; Sordariomycetes; Hypocreales
Description: eukaryotic LSU rRNA
Rfam family: 5.8S ribosomal RNA (bases 197-350)
Source: RNAcentral